RNAcentral lists this transfer RNA (68 nucleotides) under Gemmatimonadota bacterium. RNAcentral's name for it is "Gemmatimonadetes bacterium (marine sediment metagenome) tRNA-Leu". It matches the Rfam family "tRNA", at positions 9 to 64 of the family's 71-position model. From Rfam's summary of the family: Transfer RNA (tRNA) molecules are approximately 80 nucleotides in length. Their secondary structure includes four short double-helical elements and three loops (D, anti-codon, and T loops). Further hydrogen bonds mediate the characteristic L-shaped molecular structure. tRNAs have two regions of fundamental functional importance: the anti-codon, which is responsible for specific mRNA codon recognition, and the 3' end, to which the tRNAs corresponding amino acid is attached (by aminoacyl-tRNA synthetases). tRNAs cope with the degeneracy of the genetic code in two manners: having more than one tRNA (with a specific anti-codon) for a particular amino acid; and 'wobble' base-pairing, i.e. permitting non-standard base-pairing at the 3rd anti-codon position. RNAcentral also lists the same sequence under 1 other name. The record is from RNAcentral. Lineage: Bacteria; Pseudomonadati; Gemmatimonadota.
GGCGGAAUGGCAGACGCAAGGGACUUAAAAUCCCUGGCCCUUCGGGGCGUGAGGGUUCAAAUCCCUCC